CGCUCAUCACUUCACGAGCAGGAAAAGGAAAUGUCAAAGGAGAUGUUGAAACUAGAGGAGCGGAGGGAGAGCAGUCAAGAGAUGGGCAGUAAACAGCGAUGCAUCAUACUCUGCUUAUCUGGGAAAUUCACCUCCAAACGAAAAAAGGCUGUGCGCCAGUCCAGGACCUCAGGAUAUCUCCUCCACCGUGCAGCAGCAGGAACCUCUCUAACCUCAGAAAAGCAUCUACUCAGAGCAGCUUCCAAACCACAUACUUUAUCCAGACGCUGUGGCAUUAAAAUCAAUUUCAGGAGUCAAGAGAGCGAAACCAGUGAAUUCUGAGUGAACACUGUUUAGACUGUUUGUGUAAGAAUGUGUUAACCACCUCAUCUCCAUGCACACUAUGAGAAAUGACCUAGGACGUCUUGUGUUUUCUCCCAUUUGACUUGUGGCUAAGUUGAUGAACUCAGAUAUCUACCAAGUAACCUUAUAGCAUGCUUUAGUGAUGUGGAACAGUCCUCAGACAUUUUUUUUAAAUUAAUUCAAUAAAAUUUGAGACUUUACUAGUGUGUGACCUUUUAUCUUAACUUAACCAGCCAAUACUUGGACAUUUUCUGGUGUAUCUUUGCCAAAUUACAAAUCCUGAUUCAGUUUGAUGGCAUGAAAGGUCAGAGAAAAUUUCAGCCUCUUAUCUUUUCAUAGUCUUUUAGUUAUUCCUGCUGAACAAUAAAAAAAGACCUGAAAGCAGGUUGAUGGACCAUUUUUCAAAAAAUAUGGACAGCAUUCAUUAUAUAUGUUCAAUUUUUGCACCUUAAAAUUGUAUAAAACUUGUAUAAGGCUGAGUAGAAGUAGAAGUGGAUGGGAAAACCCACGGGCCUCGUGUACUGAAAUAUAAACACCUGUCUGUCCAUCCACUUUCUCAUCCAAGUCUGGUCAUGGUGGCACUGUACUAAGCGAGCUACUUCAAACGCGCUUCCCAGCAGCAUCUUCCCAAUCGUUGCAGGAGAUCUCAAGAUGUGCUCGAAUGAGGUGAGUUAACAACUCCAAGGCGGCCUAAGAAAUCUUCCGUGGGUUCCAGGGGGCACCCAGGAGGCAUCCUUAUUAGAAGCCUGAACUGCCUCGGUUGGCUCGUUUCUAGGGCACAGCAGCAACUCUGAGGGACUUCCAGAUGUUUUCUUACUUGAGUUUCUUUCUUCUGCCUCAGACCUUGUUUCUGCACAAAUGAUGGCACUGAAAGUGAUUUUUAAGGGUGAAUGUAAAACUGAUGUCCUUUAAUCCUUGCGGGAUGCCAUCACUUGGUAAUCCAUGCCAUCGGCUGAUCAGGUAGUGUUUGUCCUCUUUUUUUUUUGCUUCCUUCUCUUUUUAAAUCAGACCUUGUUGGCUCUUAUCUGCACUGUUGCAGCAGAGCCUCUUUCCUUCUUUAUUUUCACCAUCAUUUGAUUAUGAAAGAAACAACAAUUCAUGAUUUGGCUUG
Molecule: long non-coding RNA, 1453 nt
Organism: Astatotilapia calliptera (eastern happy)
Lineage: Eukaryota; Metazoa; Chordata; Actinopteri; Cichliformes; Cichlidae
Source: Ensembl